Molecule: non-coding RNA, 107 nt
Filed under: Moraxella bovis
Lineage: Bacteria; Pseudomonadati; Pseudomonadota; Gammaproteobacteria; Moraxellales; Moraxellaceae
Description: Glycine sequence
Rfam family: Glycine riboswitch aptamer
About the family: This family represents the bacterial glycine riboswitch. Glycine riboswitches usually consist of two metabolite-binding aptamers domains with similar structures in tandem.
Source: RNAcentral
AUCACAAAAUCUGGAGAAGGCAGGUCAUGCCUACCGAAGGGAAGAAAAUGCUUAAUUUUCAAUAAUUUAGCAUUGAAAAUCUCAGGUAACAGGACAGAUGGGGUGCU